Molecule: ribosomal RNA, 771 nt
Filed under: Fructilactobacillus sanfranciscensis
Lineage: Bacteria; Bacillati; Bacillota; Bacilli; Lactobacillales; Lactobacillaceae
Description: bacterial SSU rRNA
Rfam family: Bacterial small subunit ribosomal RNA
Source: RNAcentral
GAUUUUGGAUCCGACUGAGUGGCGAACUGGUGAGUAACACGUGGGUAACCUGCCCAGAAGAAGGGGAUAACACCUGGAAACAGAUGCUAAUACCGUAUAACAACAAGAACCACAUGGUUCUUGUUUGAAAGCUGGCCUUUGUGCUAGUGCUUCUGGAUGGACCCGCGGCGUAUUAGCUAGUUGGUGAGAUAAUAGCUCACCAAGGCAAUGAUACGUAGCAGACCUGAGAGGGUAAUCUGCCACAAUGGGACUGAGACACGGCCCAUACUCCUACGGGAGGCAGCAGUAGGGAAUCUUCCACAAUGGACGAAAGUCUGAUGGAGCAACGCCGCGUGAGUGAAGAAGGGUUUCGGCUCGUAAAACUCUGUUGUUAGAGAAGAACAGCCGUGAGAGCAACUGCUCACGGUAUGACGGUAUCUAACCAGAAAGUCACGGCUAACUACGUGCCAGCAGCCGCGGUAAUACGUAGGUGGCAAACGUUGUCCGGAUUUAUUGGGCGUAAAGGGAGCGCAGGCGGUUUAUUAAGUCUGAUGUGAAAGCCUUCGGCUUAACCGGAGAAGUGCAUCGGAAACUGAUAAACUUGAGUGCAGAAAAGGAUAGUGGAACUUCAUGUGUAGCGGUGAAAUGCGUAGAUAUAUGAAGGAACACCAGUGGCGAAGGCGGCUAUCUGGUCUGUAACUGACGCUGAGGCUCGAAAGCAUGGGUAGCAAACAGGAUUAGAUACCCUGGUAGUCCAUGCCGUAAACGAUGAAUGCUAGGUGUUGGAAGGUU